CCUACGGGGGGCAGCAGUGGGGAAUAUUGGACAAUGGGGGCAACCCUGAUCCAGCCAUGCCGCGUGUGUGAAGAAGGCCCUCGGGUUGUAAAGCACUUUCAGUGAGGAAGAACGCCUGGUGGUUAAUACCCAUCAGGAAAGACAUCACUCACAGAAGAAGCACCGGCUAACUCCGUGCCAGCAGCCGCGGUAAUACGGAGGGUGCGAGCGUUAAUCGGAAUUACUGGGCGUAAAGCGCGCGUAGGUGGCUUGAUAAGCCGGUUGUGAAAGCUCCGGGCUCAACCUGGGAACGGCAUCCGGAACUGUCAAGCUAGAGUGCAGGAGAGGAAGGUAGAAUUCCCGGUGUAGCGGUGAAAUGCGUAGAGAUCGGGAGGAAUACCAGUGGCGAAGGCGGCCUUCUGGACUGACACUGACACUGAGGUGCGAAAGCGUGGGUAGCAAACAGGAUUAGAUACCCCAGUAGUC
RNAcentral lists this ribosomal RNA (465 nucleotides) under Vreelandella stevensii. Its description in RNAcentral is "partial 16S ribosomal RNA". It matches the Rfam family "Bacterial small subunit ribosomal RNA", at positions 338 to 795 of the family's 1533-position model. The record is from RNAcentral. Lineage: Bacteria; Pseudomonadati; Pseudomonadota; Gammaproteobacteria; Oceanospirillales; Halomonadaceae.